CCUACGGGCGGCAGCAGUGAGGAAUAUUGGUCAAUGGCCGAGAGCCUGAACCAGCCAAGUCGCGUGAGGGAUGACUGCCCUACGGGUUGUAAACUUCUUUUGUCGGGGAGUAAAGUGAGUCACGUGUGACUUUUUGUGUGUACUUGAUGAAUAAGCAUCGGCUAACUCCGUGCCAGCAGCCGCGGUAAUACGGAGGAUGCGAGCGUUAUCCGGAUUUAUUGGGUUUAAAGGGUGCGGAGAUGGGAUGUUAAGUCAGUUGGGAAAUUUUGGGGCUCAACCGUGAAAUUGCAGUUGAUACUGGCAGCCUUGAGUACAGGUGAGGUAGGCGGAAUGCGUGGUGUAGCGGUGAAAUGCAUAGAUAGCACGAAGAACUCCGAUUGCGAAGGCAGCAUAC
RNAcentral lists this ribosomal RNA (394 nucleotides) under uncultured bacterium. Its description in RNAcentral is "partial 16S ribosomal RNA". It matches the Rfam family "Bacterial small subunit ribosomal RNA", at positions 338 to 729 of the family's 1533-position model. The record is from RNAcentral.